Molecule: ribosomal RNA, 1658 nt
Filed under: human oral metagenome
Description: bacterial LSU rRNA
Rfam family: Bacterial large subunit ribosomal RNA
Source: RNAcentral
AAGUGCGAAUGCUGACAUAAGUAACGAUAAAACGGGUGAAAAACCCGUUCGCCGGAAGACCAAGGGUUCCUGUCCAACGUUAAUCGGGGCAGGGUGAGUCGGCCCCUAAGGCGAGGCUGAAAAGCGUAGUCGAUGGGAAACGGGUUAAUAUUCCCGUACUUGGAUAAACUGCGAUGUGGGGACGGAGCAGGUUAGGUUAUCGCACUGUUGGAUAUGUGCGUUUAAGUUUGUAGGUGGGAAGUUUAGGCAAAUCCGGACUUCUAUUAAACACUGAGAGAUGAUGACGAGGCUCUACGGAGCUGAAGUAACCGAUACCACACUUCCAGGAAAAGCCACUAAGCUUCAGGUUUAUCUAAACCGUACUGAAAACCGACACAGGUGGUCAGGUAGAGAAUACUCAGGCGCUUGAGAGAACUCGGGUGAAGGAACUAGGCAAAAUAGCACCGUAACUUCGGGAGAAGGUGCGCCGGCGUAGAUUGUAGUCCCUUGCGGAUGAAGGUUGAACCGGUCGAAGAUACCAGCUGGCUGCAACUGUUUAUUAAAAACACAGCACUCUGCAAACACGAAAGUGGACGUAUAGGGUGUGAUGCCUGCCCGGUGCUGGAAGGUUAAUUGAUGGUGUAAUCGAAAGAGAAGCUCCUGAUCGAAGCCCCAGUAAACGGCGGCCGUAACUAUAACGGUCCUAAGGUAGCGAAAUUCCUUGUCGGGUAAGUUCCGACCUGCACGAAUGGCAUAAUGAUGGCCAGGCUGUCUCCACCCGAGACUCAGUGAAAUUGAAAUCGCCGUGAAGAUGCGGUGUACCCGCGGCUAGACGGAAAGACCCCGUGAACCUUUACUAUAGCUUGACACUGAACAUUGAAUUUUGAUGUGUAGGAUAGGUGGGAGCCUUUGAAGCAGUCACGCCAGUGAUUGUGGAGGCGUCCUUGAAAUACCACCCUUUAACGUUUGAUGUUCUAACGAAGAUUACGAAACGUGGUCUCGGACAGUGUCUGGUGGGUAGUUUGACUGGGGCGGUCUCCUCCCAAAGAGUAACGGAGGAGCACGAAGGUUUGCUAAUGACGGUCGGACAUCGUCAGGUUAGUGCAAUGGUAUAAGCAAGCUUAACUGCGAGACAGACAAGUCGAGCAGGUACGAAAGUAGGUCAUAGUGAUCCGGUGGUUCUGAAUGGAAGGGCCAUCGCUCAACGGAUAAAAGGUACUCCGGGGAUAACAGGCUGAUACCGCCCAAGAGUUCAUAUCGACGGCGGUGUUUGGCACCUCGAUGUCGGCUCAUCACAUCCUGGGGCUGAAGUAGGUCCCAAGGGUAUGGCUGUUCGCCAUUUAAAGUGGUACGCGAGCUGGGUUUAGAACGUCGUGAGACAGUUCGGUCCCUAUCUGCCGUGGGCGUUGGAGAAUUGGUUGGGGCUGCUCCUAGUACGAGAGGACCGGAGUGGACGCACCACUGGUGUUCCGGUUGUGUCGCCAGACGCAUUGCCGGGUAGCUAAGUGCGGAAGAGAUAAGUGCUGAAAGCAUCUAAGCACGAAACUUGCCAAGAGAUGAGUUCUCCCAGAUUAUAAAUCUGUAAGGGUUGUUUAAGACUAAGACGUAGAUAGGUGCGGUGUGUAAGUGUAGUGAUACAUUGAGCUAACGCAUACUAAUUGCCCGAGAGGCUUAACUAU